GAUGAAGAACGCAGCGAAAUGCGAUAAGUAAUGUGAAUUGCAGAAUUCAGUGAAUCAUCGAAUCUUUGAACGCACAUUGCGCCCCUUGGUAUUCCGAGGGGCAUGCCUGUUCGAGCGUCAUUUCAACCCUCAAGCUCUGCUUGGUAUUGGGCUACGCCAUCGCGGCAGGCCUUAAAAUUAGUGGCGGUGCCGUCUCGGCUCUAAGCGUAGUAACAAUCUCUCGCUCUGGAGACCUGGCGGUGCUUGCCAGACAACCACCAAUUUUUUUAUGGUUGACCUCGGAUCAGGUAGGGAUACCCGCUGAACUUAAGCAUAUCAAUAAGCGGAGGA
Molecule: unclassified non-coding RNA, 330 nt
Filed under: soil metagenome
Description: partial contains 5.8S ribosomal RNA, internal transcribed spacer 2, and large subunit ribosomal RNA
Rfam family: 5.8S ribosomal RNA (bases 1-120)
Source: RNAcentral